Molecule: ribosomal RNA, 254 nt
Filed under: uncultured bacterium
Lineage: Bacteria
Description: partial 16S ribosomal RNA
Rfam family: Bacterial small subunit ribosomal RNA
Source: RNAcentral
UACGUAGGGGGCAAGCGUUGUCCGGAUUUAUUGGGCGUAAAGAGCGUGUAGGCGGUUUUGGUAGGUCCGCUGUGAAAACUCGAGGCUCAACCUCGAGACGCCGGUGGAAACCAUCAGACUAGAGUCCGGAAGAGGAGAGUGGAAUUCCUGGUGUAGCGGUGAAAUGCGCAGAUAUCAGGAAGAACACCCGUGGCUAAGGCGGCUCUCUAGUACGGUACUGACGCUGAGACGCGAAAGCGUGGGGAGCGAACAGG